RNAcentral lists this ribosomal RNA (462 nucleotides) under uncultured Sphingobacteriales bacterium. RNAcentral describes it as "bacterial SSU rRNA". It matches the Rfam family "Bacterial small subunit ribosomal RNA", at positions 920 to 1382 of the family's 1533-position model. The record is from RNAcentral. Lineage: Bacteria; Pseudomonadati; Bacteroidota; Sphingobacteriia; Sphingobacteriales.
CCCGCACAAGCGGAGGAACAUGUGGUUUAAUUCGAUGAUACGCGAGGAACCUUACCUGGGCUUAAAUGUAGAGUGCAUUUAGUGGGAAACCAUUAUUUUCUUCGGAACUCUUUGCAAGGUGCUGCAUGGUUGUCGUCAGCUCGUGCCGUGAGGUGUCGGGUUAAGUCCCAUAACGAGCGCAACCCUUAUCGUUAGUUGCCAGCGGGUAAUGCCGGGAACUCUAGCGAAACUGCCGGUGUAAACCGAGAGGAAGGUGGGAUGACGUCAAAUCAGCACGGCCCUUAUGUCCAGGGCUACACACGUGUUACAAUGGCCGGUACAGAGGGCAGCUACCUGGAGACAGGAUGCGAAUCUCGAAAGCCGGUCUCAGUUCGGAUCGGAGUCUGCAACUCGACUCCGUGAAGCUGGAUUCGCUAGUAAUCGCGCAUCAGCCAUGGCGCGGUGAAUACGUUCCCGGGCCUU